This 654-nucleotide ribosomal RNA is filed under the name uncultured bacterium. RNAcentral describes it as "bacterial SSU rRNA". The stretch from base 1 to 539 matches the Rfam family "Bacterial small subunit ribosomal RNA", at positions 338 to 873 of the family's 1533-position model. The record is from RNAcentral.
CCUACGGGAGGCAGCAGUAAGGAAUAUUGGUCAAUGGAGGCAACUCUGAACCAGCCAUGCCGCGUGCAGGAAGAAGGCGCUACGCGUUGUAAACUGCUUUUGUACGGGAGAAAACCCAUCUAUGUAUAGAUGGCUGAUAGUACCGUAAGAAUAAGCAUCGGCUAACUUCGUGCCAGCAGCCGCGGUAAGACGAAGGAUGCAAGCGUUAUCCGGAUUUAUUGGGUUUAAAGGGUGCGUAGGCGGUCUUAUAAGUCAGUGGUGAAAGCUCUCAGCUUAACUGAGAAACUGCCAUUGAUACUGCAAGACUUGAGUACAGAUGAUGUUGGCGGAAUAUGACAUGUAGCGGUGAAAUGCAUAGAUAUGUCAUAGAACACCGAUUGCGAAGGCAGCUGACAAAACUGUAACUGACGCUNAGGCACGAAAGUGCGGGGAUCAAACAGGAUUAGAUACCCUGGUAGUCCGCACCGUAAAACUAUAUAUACUCGUCUGUGUGNGAUAUACAGUACGCGGCGUACGACGAACGACGUUAAGUAAGUACCGUACCGUACGGUAGGUACGGCCGGCCGACGGUACGGAACGUUACGAAACGAAAGUUAGGUUACGGACGGUUGGAGGACGCGCCGACGGACGACGACGACGGGAGGGUUAGGGAGG